RNAcentral lists this small RNA (47 nucleotides) under uncultured Entomoneis. RNAcentral describes it as "partial Mitochondrion-encoded tmRNA". Lineage: Eukaryota; Bacillariophyta; Bacillariophyceae; Surirellales; Surirellaceae. The record is from RNAcentral.
AGUCCCAACGCAGUUGUGAUUCUCUAUGAUCCCAUGCAGACCACCAA